UCUCGCAUCGAUGAAGAACGUAGCGAAAUGCGAUACUUGGUGUGAAUUGCAGAAUCCCGUGAACCAUCGAGUCUUUGAACGCAAGUUGCGCCUGAAGCCAUUAGGCCAAGGCACGUCUGCCUGGGCGUCACG
Molecule: ribosomal RNA, 132 nt
Filed under: Ceodes umbellifera
Lineage: Eukaryota; Viridiplantae; Streptophyta; Magnoliopsida; Caryophyllales; Nyctaginaceae
Description: Pisonia umbellifera 5.8S ribosomal RNA
Rfam family: 5.8S ribosomal RNA
About the family: 5.8S ribosomal RNA (5.8S rRNA) is a component of the large subunit of the eukaryotic ribosome. It is transcribed by RNA polymerase I as part of the 45S precursor that also contains 18S and 28S rRNA. Functionally, it is thought that 5.8S rRNA may be involved in ribosome translocation.
Source: RNAcentral